Long non-coding RNA from Gasterosteus aculeatus aculeatus (three-spined stickleback), 265 nucleotides. The record is from Ensembl. NCBI's taxonomy places the organism in Eukaryota, Metazoa, Chordata, Actinopteri, Perciformes, Gasterosteidae.
AACUCUGUUCAGCUCUUUCUAUCAUGGAGUUUGCCCGUGUAAAUGGCUUGAAUCAGGUAACUUUUCAACGGAACAUGAGGAUGACAUCAUUCCUUGACACGCAAGAGAUAAAAGAGGGAAUGAGGCGGGAAAAAAAAAAGAGGACACACAACUUCAGACGGAGCGGGAAACAACAAUACAGAUAAGGUAGAGUUUGUGGGAGGAAUGAAGGGUGGAAAAAGUUUCAAAAACAUGCACAAAUAAUAAUAUAAAAGUGAAAGAGGAG